AGCAUAUGUUUACUGUGCAAACGACUAACUCACUUUAUGGUGUUUGGUUUCCUAAAUGAAAACAUUCUCCAGGAAAGACUUGGGCAGGCUUCUUGCUGAGAGAGUGAGCAGAGAAGGAGCGCAGCGAACGCCUCUCCUCUCCCUUCGCCCUCUCGCCUGGGACGGCCGGGUAAUUACAUCAUUUGGAGAUGGAAUGGAAGCACUUUACAAGCGAAAUCUGGUUUGGAUCAGUCUUGAGAAAGGACAAAGACAAGGGACAGUCAGGACUGCAGAGAAAACCACUGAGACCGACCCGCCUUCCGUCCAGGACUUAAAGAUGCAGACAACAUAUUCCAGCUCCUCCUCUCUGAGCCGGCAGCAGCAGCAGCAGCGCUACAAACAGACAGGCUUCCACGCUAACACUUCCACGCUGUUUCCAUCAGAGUACAGUGUUUGGAGAUGAAGGAUGAGACAGAAUGUGAACUUCACAAGGGAGGAACACUCAUACCAUCAGAGGCGGCCAAUUGAUGUUUCCUUGAAACAAUCUACAAUCCAAGACAGAGAAGUGAGGAAUCUGUCUGUGGGAUCAGAGACUCAAAGGAGAGGCUGAAAGGCGAUGAGGACCACAACAGUAGCGUCCUGACGGGUCUGCAGAGAGCACAUGUUCUCCAAAACCCCCAGUAAGGAGAGCCAGAGGGAGUCUAGCUGCAUUCAUCUCCAAGAAUCAAACUGCAGCACAGGAGGUGAAGCACUGAGUGGAAAUGUUUCUCCCUGCUGGGAACUUUGGAUUUGUCUGCCGGCAGCAGCAGGACUCAGAAGGUUCGAGUACGCACAGUACACACACAC
This is a long non-coding RNA of Amphiprion ocellaris (clown anemonefish), 825 nucleotides long. RefSeq lists it as uncharacterized. The record is from RefSeq and is a predicted model, not a curated record. The transcript has 6 exons. Lineage: Eukaryota; Metazoa; Chordata; Actinopteri; Pomacentridae.